CGAGUGCCGCCGCCACCACCAGCGUCCGACCCCGAGCUCCUCCUCCCGUGCGCCUCCUCCCCGGCCUCCCUCGCGCGUCGUCCGGCGCCGCCGCCGCCGACCACCCAAGUCACGCCGCCGCUACCAUGCCUUCUCUCUCUCUCUCUCUCUCUCUCUCCAGGAGCUCAGCGCCAGCGCCAUGGAUAUCCAGUCCUCGAGCUCUCCUCGGAGGUUCGAACGCCGCCACGGGACCUCCACCAGCCAGAUCCGGCGCCUACCUCUCGGAUCCGCGUUCCCUCCACCUCCUCUACCGAUCCGGCGCCGCCGAACCCGCCAUGACCUCCACCAUGGAGCUCCUGUAGCUCGUCCCCUGCCUCCUCGUCCUGUGCUCGAGGGAGACGCCCCUCCAGCGCAUCGAGCACAAGGCGCACCGCCAGCCGGUCGUCAUUGCACUCUUGCGACCUCACCGUCCCCUCUGCACUGCCCUGCACCUCAACUGAUGCUUCUCAUCAAUAGGGAUAGAUUUAGCUGGUCAUAGCUUGUGGAUGUUCUCUGUUAUUUUUUGCACACAAGGUGUUUGUGUGUUUGUCCAAGCCAAUGUUCAUGAGCUUUAUCUUUGCUAUAAAUGACAUGGCUGAGAAAGUCCCUUCAAUGAAAGGAGGAGGAGUAUAGUCUUGGCCAUGGCUCGGAAGGAAGGAGAAUAGGUAAAUGGAGGAUUUUUUUAGAGAGAUUAGGACUGCUUGAUUUAUCAGAGAGAAAACCUUGAUCAUGCUGGGCCGAGGAGGAGAAGAAGGGGGGCACGUCGGAGGUGCCGGUGGAGCACGCCGCCGAGAUCGUUAAUGACAGCGACACGGGCGAGGCCGGGGAGGAGGUCAUGGUUGAUGCUUUACUACCUGAAUAUGUUGACCGGGAACAAGAGGGUAAGGUGGAUGUGAGGGCGGAGGCGCAUACCAUGGUGCAGGAUGUUGUGGAAGCCCGAUUAUUUGAGGAAGUGACAGCCACUGGGAGCAUGGAUCGACAGACUAGACAGCAGACCAAGUACAUUGAUUGGUAGAUUCAACAAUGAAGGAAGAGGCAGAAGGUUAUAAUAACGAGCUUGGGGAUUUACUGACCUGAAUCUUAAACAGGGCCGCCCUGCUGAUGGACUCAAGCUCCAGAUAUGCAAAGUCAUAGUCCUGCAUGUAUGCACAUAUACUGAUACAUACAAGCCGGUCAACGGGCACACACAUUAGUAAGUUUUGCUACUAGCCUAAUCAAGAGCCUUUUAUACAACCCCGCAAAAAAAGCCUUUUAUACAGCCUUGCAGAUAAAAAAUGAAUUGAAUUAUGAGCAUCUGAUAACUAUGAUCAAUUUCCUGGUUAUGCUUCCUCAAAUAAAGGUGGCCGACCAAAUGAAAGGAUGGAUGCUUUCCUUUAUGUGAGAUUAUAUACAUUAUCUUACUUGAUCUGCAAUGUUUCUUUGGAAAUUUUUUAUGAAAGACACAUGACACAUAGUUUGCUGGAUAGGUCUAAGAUAAAUAUUUCAGUUAUAGGAGGAUAUUUUUUAAUGGGUAAUACUAUUACCGAUAUCUGCUUGGUCUGUUGUGCUUUUGGUAGAGCUUUCAUAUUUCAACACAAAAACAACAAUGCAAGUUGGGACCAGAAUAGGACACACAUCCUCAAAGGAAACAUUAGUUGGGAGUGCUCAAGUAUUCAGUUUCUUGGAUGAUGUAUUAUGUUCCUGCUUAUCAUGUACUCCCUCUGUAAACAAAUAUUUGUUACAGAGGGAGUAUGUUUCUAGAUAUCCGUCAAUUCCAAUGUUUCAUUUAUCUACUCUCUGAAUAUGAAGAAGAUAGGCUUGCAAAGUAGCUUUUUACGUGAAUAAUGUGACAAACAUUUAUGUCUUAUAACUGCAAACAUUUUUUGUUUAGUCCGUCAUCGAGCAAAUUUUUGGGAGUUGGAAAUUAUUUGGAUACACAUGAUCUCAGCAAAGAAAGAUUCACACAUACUACAACCAAAGGACCUCCUUCACUCUCUGUGCAACUACAGAAAUUAUCCUUAUGAGCAGCACCCUAGAUUUAGUUGUGGGUUCUAACAUAUUAGAGAUGUGGUUAGAAUACCUACUGCUCUGAACAAUUAAAUGGUUUGUAUAAACCACCGAUUCCCUCGUGCAGUGUACAAUGUGAUAUAGAUCAUCAUAGAUCAAACUUAAUACAGGAAGUACACACUUAAUU
Triticum aestivum (bread wheat) is the source of this 2191-nucleotide long non-coding RNA. RefSeq lists it as uncharacterized. The record is from RefSeq and is a predicted model, not a curated record. The transcript has 3 exons. Lineage: Eukaryota; Viridiplantae; Streptophyta; Magnoliopsida; Poales; Poaceae.